RNAcentral lists this ribosomal RNA (407 nucleotides) under uncultured bacterium. RNAcentral describes it as "partial 16S ribosomal RNA". It matches the Rfam family "Bacterial small subunit ribosomal RNA", at positions 30 to 526 of the family's 1533-position model. The record is from RNAcentral.
AUUGAACGCUGGCGGCAGGCCUAACACAUGCAAGUCGAGCGGAGCGGCGGACGGGGUAGUAAUGCCUAGGAAUCUGCCUGGUAGUGGUGGCUAACGUCCGGAAACGGGCGCUAAUACCGCAUACUAUCAAAUGAGCCUAGGUCGGAUUAGCUAGUUGGUGGGGUAAAGGCCUACCAAGGCGACGAUCCGUAAAUGGUCUGAGAGGAUGAUCAGUAACACGGGAACUGAGACACGGGCCAGACUCCUACGGUAGGCAGCAGUGGGGAAUAUUGGACAAUGGGCGAAAGCCUGAUCCAGCCAUGCCGCGUAUGUGAAGAAGGUCUUCGGAUUGUAAAGCACUUUAAGUUGGGAGGCGUUACCAACAGAAUAAGCACCGGCUAACUUCGUGCCAGCAGCCGCGGUAAUUC